This is a long non-coding RNA of Oreochromis aureus, 696 nucleotides long. RefSeq lists it as uncharacterized. NCBI's taxonomy places the organism in Eukaryota, Metazoa, Chordata, Actinopteri, Cichliformes, Cichlidae. The transcript has 3 exons. The record is from RefSeq and is a predicted model, not a curated record.
GUGAUAUAUCUGAUCCACCAGUCACCAACCUCGGAAAUGAUGAAGAGCUUUCAACAAACGUGCAACGCUCUUAAAAGGAUCGGUUCUUAAAGACUGUUUUAGAUAUGCUGGGUUUGGUGAACACAGCCUCCUACUGUCUGGUUUCGUGAGCCUGUGUGCCACUUUCUCUUCUAAGCUGACCGGAGUGGCAGCCGGUGUGGUCUACUGCAAGUGUACCCCAGCUGCCUCAGGGUUUGGCGUGUUGUGCGUUCCAAGAUGCUCUUCUGUGCCGGCCAGGACGCUGCGCUGUGGGACACUGUCACCGGUCCUCGGCCCUCCUCCUGCUCGACACCUACCCAUCAGUCGUCCCGGGCUGAAGUGAUGGUCCAUAGUUGCCUGAGGGAUCAGAGUGGUGCUGUUUCUCCACCCAGCCUGAACCUCUCCAGCUGCUACACAGCAAUGCCUGAUGACAACUUACUCCAUGUGGAUGGCCAAGCGGGUGUGGACCCAGAAACAAUGCCUGCAAACACUGCAGCUUUCCCACCACUGGUGGCUGAUGACACCAGAGCGGCCGGCCACCCCACCAUGAAGCCAAAUAAACGGACCUCAUCCUGGCGUAGGAUGCUACAGUUACAGCAUUCUCCUCUCCGGGCACAAAGUAAGGACUAUGCACUUCUCUUGCGUAAGAACACACAGCCUCAAUCUGUCGUGCCAAAA